UACGUAGGGUGCUAGCGUUGUCCGGAUUUACUGGGCGUAAAGCGUAUGUAGGUGGCCUUUUAAGUCAGGUGUCAAAGGCAACGGCUCAACCGUUGUACGCGCUUGAAACUGAAUGGCUAGAGUCUUGGAGAGGGAAGUGGAACGCAUAGUGUAGCGGUGAAAUGCGUAGAUAUUAUGCGGAACACCAGUGGCGAAGGCGACUUCCUGGACAAGUACUGACGCUGAGAUACGAAAGCGUGGGGAGCAAACAGG
Molecule: ribosomal RNA, 252 nt
Filed under: uncultured bacterium
Lineage: Bacteria
Description: partial 16S ribosomal RNA
Rfam family: Bacterial small subunit ribosomal RNA
Source: RNAcentral